Molecule: ribosomal RNA, 481 nt
Filed under: uncultured bacterium
Lineage: Bacteria
Description: bacterial SSU rRNA
Rfam family: Bacterial small subunit ribosomal RNA
Source: RNAcentral
AAUCAACGCUGGCGGCGUGCCUCAGACAUGCAAGUCGAACGAUUAAAGCUCCCUUCGGGGAGUGCAUAGAGUGGCGCACGGGUGAGUAACACGUAAGUAAUCUACCCUCGGGUGGGGAAUAACGUUCGGAAACGGACGCUAAUACCGCAUAAUGCAGCGGCACCGCAAGGUGACAGUUGUUAAAGAUUUAUUGCCUGGGGAGGAGCUUGCGGCAGAUUAGCUUGUUGGUAAGGAACGGCUUACCAAGGCUACGAUCUGUAUCCGGUCUAAGAGGACGGUCGGACACACUGACACUGAAUAACGGGUCAGACUCCUACGGGAGGCAGCAGUCGGGAAUUUUGGGCAAUGGGGGAAACCCUGACCCAGCAACGCCGCGUGAAGGAUGAAGUAUUUCGGUAUGUAAACUUCGAAAGAAUAGGAAGAAUUAAUGACGGUACUAUUUAUAAGGUCCGGCUAACUACGUGCCAGCCGCCGCAGUAAC